GGAUCUGUUUGAUGCUGCCUCCUUGAUUAGAAAUAAAUCCCUGAUGUUUAUCAUUGUUCCCAUGAGAAAAUCCUGUCCACUUUGCAACGAUUUACUUAUGGUGGUGUUUUGGGGAAUGCACUGAAGCAAACCGUGAAAUUAAAUGAACGAUUCACUAAAUCAAAUAAAGGAAAAGGAAUACAAAGCCAGCAGGGCACAGUGGAAUGAAAACCAGCAUCGACCUGAAAACCAGGACGCCUGGGUCCGGCUCCUGGCUCUGCGUCGAGUUGCCAUCUGUGAAAAGACAGGCCUGGUGCACACGGGGGAUGUGGCCGCACCAGUGAGGACAGACUGGAAGCAAAAGGGCCUGAGCCGAACUAGUGCACAGAUAAGCUGUGCUCUCUGGAAACCACAGCAGACAGCCAUAAAACAGAGAAAACAGGACAACCAUCAUAGUUACACAACAGAUGGAUGCGGCAACACAGAACCUUCGCUUAAGACUCAGCUGCGGAAUUGAGUUGCUUUUUUUAAUGGAAAAGGAAAAGAAUCACCCAGAAGGAUAACCUUGAAUUUAGAAAGAGCAGGUGGGUUGUGUGAUCAGCUAGGCCUCUUCUGUACGAGGUAGAGCACAUUUCAGAAUUGUGUGUGUAUCAGUGGUCACUGCGAUUUAAGUAAAAAGAACAAGAAUUCAGAAAAUUAUAUCCUAUCCAAAAAAGGCUACUCUAAUGUUCCUGAUGACUUCACUAUCAGCUCGGGUUAUAUAUUUUUCUAAGAACAUUAUCUUCGGAGAGAGUUUUCAUCAGUGAGUCAACUUUUGUUUGCUUGCAUUGGUUUCACCUUCUAUUGUUUUUUUCCCUACGACUCUCAGCUUUUACCACUUAUUGAACCCUGAUGGAAGAAGGACGUCUGCUCAUUGACAUGCUGACAACCUGAUAAGUCACCCCACACCCAUACCACACACACAUGUGCACACCCACUCAUUCGACUCAGACACAGUGGCUAGCGUUGAUUUUUCACUAAAGUCGACUAUAUAAUAAUCACUUCAUUUUCCAGAAGUUUAUGGGUCUAUUCUUUUUUUAAAUUAAAAAAAAUCAGCUUUUAUUUUAGAUACAGAAUGCACAUGAGCAGAUUUAUUACAUGGGGAUAUUGUGUGAAGAUGCGGUUUGGAGUUCAGAUCCCAUCAAAUACCAAGAAGAUCUCUCAAAACUACACAAAUAUAUGGAAAUUAAAUAACUUACUUUUGAAUAUGUCUUGGGUGGUGAGCAUCAAAAUUAUGGCAGAAUUUUUUUUAAAAAUUGAAAUUAAUAAAACAGGGACACAACUUGCCAAAAUCUUUGGGAUGCAGCCAAAGCAGUGUUAAGAGGAAAGUUUAUAGCCCUAAAAAUGCCUUCAUCAAGAAGUUAGAAAGUUCUCAAAGUAACAUAUGUCUCUUUUUAUUGUUAUGAGUGAAAAGUUGAUCACCAUGUAUUUUUGGCAUUCUGGUAUUGAUGAAGAAGCUUCUAUGUGCCCAACGUUGCUCCAACCAGCUUUGAAUCUCCUGGUGAGGACAUGCUCCAAGGACAGCUCCUUCAUGCUGGUCAUGGCUAUGGGUGUGUCUGGUGUGUGUGUGUGUGUGUGUGUGUGUGUUUCCUCACAUGGAGGCAGAGUAGUACUUGCUGGGCAGGAACCCUGGGAUCUGUGGCUCCUGUUUCAGGCCUCCAGGCAAUAAAAACCAGCAUCUUAGAAUAUUCCAGUUGCCAAUAGAGAAAAUUGCUCAUGUAACUUAUGAAUGUGAGGGGCAAUCUUUGAUUUCAAGCUGAUGCCUUUCUAAUAUCUCAAUCCUUUAAUGGCACUUCAAAACAUCAAAGGACUCUCAAAAACCUGCCUCAUAACCAGCCAUUCCAGCCACAGAGUGAAGUGUGUAUCAUUAUUCUUACUGAGUUUGCAUUAAGGAAUUAGAAGCUCUGGGAGAUGGGCCAACACAUCCAUGGUCACACAGUCUUCAGGAUUCACCAGGCCAAGGCUCAGGAGCUUCUGUGCUUUCUUCUUUACUUGCAGGAGUAUUUUUUAAAAACUUAUUCCUUUAAGAUCUUUUGUUGUACUUCCAAUGUAUUCCCAACCAAUGCAUUUUAAGACAACAGGGCUAGUGUGCACUUGGAUUUCAGGAAGCAGUCAUGUCAGUGAAACUAGGUAAGUCAUUGUAAGUUGUUAUUUAGCAAUCACAGAAUUGUUAGAGUGCAUCUGUCGCUGAUGACAUGCUCAGGGCUGUUCCUUUACAAGCUCCCUGCUUGGAUGUAGAACAUCAGACCAGAUUUAUGCACAUCUUCCUCUUGGUUCAUGACUAUGAAACUUGAAGAGCAGCUGUCUUGGAAUAGAGUAUUUUCUUCAGAUUCCUCUUGCCCUUCAGUUUAACCUACACCAUCUGAAAGGAGUCCCAUAGUACUGAGGAUGAGAGCAGAGUAUGGUGGCUUCACGUUCUUUGAAACCUGUUGCAUCAUCAGCUGCACUGGCAGGUCCCAAAGCUGGCAGAGGCCAGAGCCAAAGGCCUCAUCUACAGAUCAACAAAGAAGUGAAGAGAAAAGAGGGGAAUCCAUACCCCUGUGUCCCUCUACUCCCCAGCACAGCUCUACUUACCUGGCUAAUGAAGCUAUUAAGAAAGGUACACAUCUGAGGUUUAUUUUCAACAUUUUGCUAUUUCUUUGAGAGGCCUAAAAAGUUAGUUGCUCCCCAAACUCUUGUAUAAAUCAGGGCUAGUUUCCCCUGGCCAAUGUGCCACUUCUUCCUUUAUCCUGAUGGGCCUGUGAGUGAUGAUUCUAUUAUUUGCUCUUUUCUCUUUAGCGUAAAUCUUAUCUCCCCAAUUUCCUUGAGUGUAAGAACCAUGAUGUAUGCUUGAUGAUUUACUAAGUCCUCUGCAAACACUCACUGUGGAACUGAUUGGUCAUAGCCAUGGAUGUAACCCUUAUCACUGUGGAUCUGGGCCAUCUGGUCAAGACUUUGUCUAUUCAGAUGAGAUUAGGGAAGCCUACCUCAGCUAGAGUUUUUCCAGGAAUUCUGAUGUUCCUGGAGGAGGGGGUCAUGUGUGAAUCAGUUGUGAGUCCGUCUGAUCUCUUCAUUCUUGGAAACCUUCUAGUCCCUUAGGUCAGAAUGUAGAAUAGUGAAGCAGCUAAAAGCACAUGUUUAGAGUCAGACUUUCAUGGGUGCCACAGCCGAGGUCACUAACCUUUGACAAAUUUCAUAGCGCAAAGACAAUUCUGUUUUCUCAUCUCUAAUAUGGGCAUGAUCCUGGUAAGUACUUCAUAGGCUUGUGAGGGCUGAGUGGUUUAAUCUGUAUCUAGGGUUAGAACAGUGUUCAAUGUGAAGCAAGUGCUUAAUGGAGGCUUGAUAUAUUCAUGGUUAUCAUACUGCCUCUCCAUCUUCUCUUUCUUUAGUUUCAUUUUCUUUUCUUUCUUUCUCUUUUUUUUUUUUUUUUUUUGAGGGAGUCUCGCUCUGCCACAAUCUCAGCUCACUGCAACCUCUAUUUCUCUGGUUCAAGGAUUCUCCUGCCUCAGCCUGGUGAGUAGCUGGAAUUACAGGCAGCCUCCACCACACCUGACUAGUUUUGGUAUUUUCAGUAGAGACAAGGUUUCACCAUGUUGGCCAGGCUGGUCUCAGACUCUUGACCUCAAGUGAUUCACCCAUCUCAGCCUCCCAAAGUGCUGGGAUUACAGCUGUGAGCCACUGAGCCCAGCCUGGCAUCUGGAAUGUACAAAACUCUUAAGAAUAUUUACAUAGUCAUACCCAAAAUAUCUCUUCUCAAUUUCUCUUCCCUCAUCUUUAGCAUCUUCUUUCCAUGAGCUGAGCUGAGGGCCAGAGACUGUGCAAUACAAACCCUCUCUUGGGUUCCUCCUUCAGACAAGGGAGGCUUACUCCCCUCUUGAUCCUUUCCUUUGUUUUAACUUUAUUUCAGAUCUUACCUUUCCAAAGGAGGUGCCCAUGCUUUUAAAGUUUCCUUGGGGUUCCCUGUACUGUUUUUGUCUUACUUUUAUCUUCAUCUAACUCUGCCCACAGAAAUUCCAAAGAUACUACAAGGCAGGGGUUGCAACCUGUAAAUUAAAUUCAGUUCAAGGGUGUGCGAGUUAAAGAACAAAUCAAGUUAGUUGCC
This is a long non-coding RNA of Callithrix jacchus (white-tufted-ear marmoset), 4099 nucleotides long. Lineage: Eukaryota; Metazoa; Chordata; Mammalia; Primates; Cebidae. The record is from Ensembl.